Long non-coding RNA from Anthonomus grandis grandis, 916 nucleotides. RefSeq lists it as uncharacterized. Lineage: Eukaryota; Metazoa; Arthropoda; Insecta; Coleoptera; Curculionidae. The transcript is spliced from 2 exons. The record is from RefSeq and is a predicted model, not a curated record.
UUAAAUAUAUUUUUCUAGUAUAUUUAUAGGUAUGAGUAUAUUUUACCUUAGAAUUAUUGAUAAAGGUUUGCAUGCUUUUAUUUACUACAUUAUGUAAGCUAAAAAAACAACCUUUUAAAACUUGUGCUUGGGCUAUGUUGUAAAACAUACAGCUUCUUCACAAAAAGUAUUAGUGUUACUCAUAUAAGAUUUAUUUAUACCUAAUACUUAUUAAAUUAGGUAUGUGUGUAAAACUAUUUUUUUACUAGGAUUUCUGAUGCACUGGUUAAAAACACAGCAGCCAAUAAUUCAGUUAAUUUACCAAGUGAUUUACCCUUCAAAGCUACAGGGGUAGCUUUCCUGAAGAGUGCAAAAACUUCUUUAGCUUUCAAAAUGGUAUAUAGUACAAACAGUGAAGCUAAUAUAGACACGUAUGGAUAAUUAAAAUAGAUUAAUAUUCUUGAUACACCAAAUUUUGUAUAAUUACAGAUCUGAUCAUUCAUCAUCAACAAUAACUGCAUCUGAGAAUUAUAGUUCUACAGUAACCAUGGAGUCUAGGUCAACAAUUACUAUUUCUCAUCCAAGCCGUUUUUGUUUAACUGCUACACAUUCCCUGACUCUGCCAAGGAAAAGGGUAAAAUCAAAAUGAUAUUCUGAGGACCUAAGCACUGAUGAUUCCACCGUUUCAAGAGCUUAAUCACUUGUCACCAGAUUAUGGAAAAAAAAUAAAGAACAAAAAAUUAAAAUUCGAAGAUUGCAACAAGCAAAUUUGCGCCAAAGAAAUUGAAUUAGAUGUCUCAAGUCAUUAUUAAAAUACUUACAUGAAAUAAUAACAUGAUUUUAUGGAAAAGCCCAACAUACUACAUAUUUUAUUUGACUUGUAAAAGCACUUGUUUGUAUAUUACUACUAAUAAACUCUCUAAUCUAAUCUAUUGUA